Molecule: small RNA, 442 nt
Filed under: Pongo abelii (Sumatran orangutan)
Lineage: Eukaryota; Metazoa; Chordata; Mammalia; Primates; Hominidae
Description: processed transcript
Source: RNAcentral
CACGAUCCAGCUGCCAACCAUCUAGCCUACCCUGAUCUCUGAGCAGCGGUCGUCCUCAUUUUACUCCAGAGGAGACUGAAGCCAGAAGGGUCUCCCGCUGUAACCCAGGCUGGAAUGCAGUGGCGUGAUCACGGCUCACAGUGUUGCCCAGGCUGGGCGCAAACCAUCCUCCCGCCUCAGCCUCCCAGUGCCAGGCGUGAGCCAUGGCACCCGGCUUCAUCUCUGUGUUUCCAGAGAGGUUAUCAAAUGAUGUGUCCAAGGGCACCAAAUGAGGCAGUGACAAAGCUAGGUCCAAGUCUGUUUCAAAGCCCAUUUUCCCCCUCUUGCUUAAGUUAUACCGCCUCCAAGGCAAAUGAGUUAUGUAAAGUGCCUAACUCCCUCUUGUGACUUCCCCAUUGCCCUCAGAAUAAAAAGUCUUAAACUCCCUACUAUGUCCUACAAA